CAUGGCUCAGAGUGAACGCUGGCGGCGUGCUUAACACAUGCAAGUCGAACGGAGAGAAAGAAGUUUACUUUUUUCUCUUAGUGGCGCACGGGUGAGUAAUGUAUAGCUAACAUGCCCUUUAGAGGGGGAUAACAGUUGGAAACGACUGCUAAUACCCCAUACUCCUUCUUUCUUAAUGAGAGUCGGGAAAGUUUUUCGCUAAAGGAUUGGGCUAUAUGGUAUCAGCUUGUUGGUGAGGUAACGGCUCACCAAGGCUAUGACACCUAGCUGGUCUGAGAGGAUGAUCAGCCACACUGGAACUGAGACACGGUCCAGACUCCUACGGGAGGCAGCAGUGGGGAAUAUUACACAAUGGAGGAAACUCUGAUGUAGCAACGCCGCGUGGAGGAUGACACAUUUCGGAGCGUAAACUCC
Molecule: ribosomal RNA, 414 nt
Filed under: uncultured bacterium
Lineage: Bacteria
Description: bacterial SSU rRNA
Rfam family: Bacterial small subunit ribosomal RNA
Source: RNAcentral